AGAGUUUGAUCCUGGCUCAGGAUGAACGCUGGCUACAGGCUUAACACAUGCAAGUCGGGCGAAGUGCUUUCGGGCACUUAGCGGCAAACGGGUGAGUAACACGUAUCCAACCUUUCCUUUACUCGGGGAUAGCCUUUAGAAAUGAAGAGUAAUACCCGAUGUGGUGUACAGUCCGCAUGUUUUGCACACCAAAGAUUCAUCGGUAAAGGGUGGGGAUGCGCUCCAUUAGGUAGUAGGCGGGGUAACGGCCCACCUAGCCCAUGAUGGAUAGGGGUUCUGAGAGGAAGGUCCCCCACAUUGGAACUGCGACACGGUCCAAACUCCUACGGGAGGCAGCAGUGAGGAAUAUUGGUCAAUGGGCGUAAGCCUGAACCAGCCAAGUAGCGUGCAGGAUGACGGCCCUAUGGGUUGUAAACUGCUUUUAACCGGGAAUAACGUCACGGACGUGUCCGUGAGUGCAUGUACCGGUUGAAUAAGGAUCGGCUAACUCCGUGCCAGCAGCCGCGGUAAUACGGAGGAUCCGAGCGUUAUCCGGAUUUAUUGGGUUUAAAGGGAGCGUAGGCGGAGGAUCAAGUCAGCUGUGAAAUGUAGUCGCUCAACGUCUGCACUGCAGUUGAAACUGGUCCCCUUGAGUGCGUAAGAGGCAGGCGGAAUUCGUCGUGUAGCGGUGAAAUGCUUAGAUAUUAGGAGGAACACCGGUGGCGAAGGCGGCUUUCUGGACUGUAACUGACGCUGAGGCACGAAAGCGUGGGGAGCAAACAGGAUUAGAUACCCUGGUAGUCCACGCUGUAAACGAUGAAUACUAGGUGUAGGGGGUAUCAACUCCCUCUGUGCCGCAGCAAACGCAAUAAGUAUUCCGCCUGGGGAGUACGGCCGCAAGGUUGAAACUCAAAGGAAUUGACGGGGGCCCGCACAAGCAGCGGAGCAUGUGGUUUAAUUCGGUGCAACGCGAGGAACCUUACCUGGAUUUGACAUCGUCGGCAAGGCCCUAUGAAAGUAGGGCGGAGGUUACCCGAUAGACAGGUGCUGCAUGGCUGUCGUCAGUUCGUGCCGUGAGGUGUUUGGUUAAGUCCACCAACGAACGCAACCCCUUUGGUAUGUUGCCAUCAGGUAAUGCUGGGAACUCGUACCAUACUGCCUGUUUACGCAGGAGGAAGGUGGGGAUGACGUCAAGUCAGUAUGGCCCUUACAUCCAGGGCUGCACACGUGCUACAAUGGCCGGCACAGAGGGCAGCCACGCGGCGACGCGGAGCGAAUCCCGAAAGCCGGUCUCAGUCCGGAUCGGAGUCUGCAACCCGACUCCGUGAAGCUGGAAUCGCUAGUAAUCGCGCAUCAGCCAUGGCGCGGUGAAUACGUUCCCGGGCCUUGCACUCACCGCCCGUCAAG
This 1386-nucleotide ribosomal RNA is filed under the name uncultured bacterium. Its description in RNAcentral is "partial 16S ribosomal RNA". It matches the Rfam family "Bacterial small subunit ribosomal RNA". The record is from RNAcentral.